Non-coding RNA from Pelobates cultripes (western spadefoot toad), 1294 nucleotides. NCBI's taxonomy places the organism in Eukaryota, Metazoa, Chordata, Amphibia, Anura, Pelobatidae. The record is from the annotation of a GenBank genome assembly.
UUUAUUUUUUAAACUGAAAAUAUUUCAGACCGUAAAAUUGCACUGCAAUCAAACAAUAAAUAUUCAAUCAGAUGGUUAUCAAAUCUGAUCGUAAAAACAGCAAUGUUACAACGGGUAGAAGAUCUCAGGGCAAUGCAACAGAACAAUGUAAAUGAUUACAAAUCCAUUUAGUCAGAAACGUCUCACAGUACACAAAUUGGGGUUAGAGAAUAUUCACUGUGCAAAGCAAGUAAGCAAAAAACCAAAUCAAGCAAAAAAGGAAAAAUACAAAGAAAGACACUCUAAACAGCCCUUUCCCUAAACAAGGACCCUGGACCCCGCCACAUCAAUUUGCAUCAGGCAUUAAGAUUGCUUUUACUUUUUGAGGGUCGUUGCAGAAAUCCUCCCACACACCCCAUUUCCUGCAGUAGAAUUUCAUGGUUUUCUUCUGCUGAAUUGGCAAUUCCCCCCACCCCAUUUACUAUUUUGGUUUAGAAUGGUGAUUAUCUCAGCUAAUGUCUCAGCUUACAUGAGUGCCAGUUGCACGCCCAGGCCUGGUUUGCAGCUAAAAACACAGGACAACAAAAUAGUUGGGCGAUUCAGAGUAUCGGGGAAUACAUGCAGCAGGGCAAUAUAUGAACAAUAUGUGCAAUAAAAGUAUUAGCAAGAAGGUUAGAGACUGGCUUUCAUAACCGUGUUAUUUUAGGGAAGCUGUAAGUAUGACUGUAUGUGAGACCAUAAUUGCGGUGUCUAUCGCGCUGGCACUAGGUGCCAUCGUUAACUAAUUUUUUACAUCCGCUUAUUCAAAAGCACAGUGACCUACCUCAAAACAGUAUGCACGUGUUAUGGUUGAUUAUACAUUUCCUACCUGUUCUAUGUUAAAUUUUGUAUAUAUUGUGUAUUAAUAUUGUUUUUGUAUUUAUUGUACCCUAUUGUAUCAAUGCAAUGUUUUUGGACCCAGGACAUACUUGAAAACGAGAUAAAUCUCAAUGUAUCCAUCCUGGUAAAAUAUUUUAUAAAUAAACAAAUAGAUGGGAGACAUUGCAAGUGAGGCCUCUCAGGUUCUAGUGCGAAUGGGUCCACACUUCUUCAGGAAAGGUUUAACUCUUUUCCCAUCUUAUCUGGUGUGAAAGUGAUUUAUUUUGGAAGUCUGCAAAUUGCAGUAACAUUCUGUAAUAUAUUGUUUAGCUUUAAUGUGCCCGUGUGUGUUAAAAGCAGUGCGUUUGGAAUUUGAGGUGUUUUUUUUUUUGCUAUCUACAUUGUUUUUUCCCCCCCUCACAUCAUGGUCAUGCACUGUAUGUAACACCAAGGUGAC